GCAGAACUGAAGCAGAGUUUAUAGCUAUUGCACGAGGAAUAUGCGAAGGACUGUGGUUAAAAAAAACUUCUAGAAGAAUUGCGGGUUAUAAUAAAGUUCCCAAUCAAACUUUAUUGUGAUAAUAAAGCAGCAGUCAAUAUUUCCUUAAAUCCAGUUCAGCAUGAUCGCACCAAACACAUAGAUGUAGACAGACACUCCAUAAAGGAAAAGGUUGAGGAAUGAACUAUUUGCAUGACCUAUGUUCCUACACAAGAACAAACUGCAGAUAUAUUUAUCAAAGGACUACCUCAACAAAAAUUCGAUGAUUUCAUAUGCAAGUUGAAUAUGAUCAACAUUUACGAUCCAACUUCAGGGAGAGUAUUAAAAUCCCGAAAUUACUGCAGGAAGGAGAUGGAUUGAUUGAAGAAAAUUGGAGGAGAUCCUUCUUACCUUAAUUAGUGUUGUAUAUUAUAUAUUUUUUGAUUUCUUACUAAAUAUAGGGGAUUAGAUUUUUAUUCCUUGUUCAGCUUUCUUUGUAAUAUAUAUAUGGACUCUCUUCAUUGUACAAUUUAAGUGAGAAAUAAUAUAAGUCAAUUUCUCUUCAGUACGUAC
This 591-nucleotide long non-coding RNA is filed under the name Olea europaea subsp. europaea. The record is from RNAcentral. Lineage: Eukaryota; Viridiplantae; Streptophyta; Magnoliopsida; Lamiales; Oleaceae.